Molecule: non-coding RNA, 509 nt
Organism: Zootermopsis nevadensis
Lineage: Eukaryota; Metazoa; Arthropoda; Insecta; Blattodea; Termopsidae
Source: RefSeq, a predicted model, not a curated record
CGGGUUUUAUAAGGCAUUGACUGCUGUACUUGAUGCAACAUAAUAACAUCUUCACCAAGGCUUGCUGGAUCAUCCGCUCGACCCAAGGCUGUUCGUUCACACGUAAGAAACAGUCGUCAUCGCCGGCAUCCAGGAAGACUUGAACGUCUGGCAGUAUGGGUUCCUGUACUAAGGUUUUGGCAGCGGGUGUUGCGAUGGUGUUGGUGGGAACCUGCGUCCUGGGUCGACCCUCAGAUCCUGAUGUCACUAAUGAACGCCGAGAAUCCCGAACAGCCGACGGAUUUAAUCUUCCGAUGAAGCCUGCUGCACCUUCACUCGCGGGGUCGCGCGAAUUUCAGAGGUGACAGCAACUCUACUGUCACUUUAUGCCGGACUCUGUGGUGGUACAUCUAACUUUCAUUAAAGCGAAAUUUGUAGAAUAUGAAACAUCAACAUGGCACCCUAAAUAUACCUGUGUUUAUCUUUCUGUUAAAUAAAAAAACAAAUGAAGCACUUAUGCAAAGAUAUCU